Molecule: transfer RNA, 76 nt
Filed under: Methylobacterium sp. WL120
Lineage: Bacteria; Pseudomonadati; Pseudomonadota; Alphaproteobacteria; Hyphomicrobiales; Methylobacteriaceae
Description: tRNA-Phe
Rfam family: tRNA
About the family: Transfer RNA (tRNA) molecules are approximately 80 nucleotides in length. Their secondary structure includes four short double-helical elements and three loops (D, anti-codon, and T loops).
Source: RNAcentral
GGAUCUGUAGCUCAGCUGGUAGAGCUUCCGAUUGAAGAUCGGAGAGUCGAAGGUUCGAGUCCUUCUGGAUCCACCA